Molecule: long non-coding RNA, 544 nt
Organism: Lolium rigidum
Lineage: Eukaryota; Viridiplantae; Streptophyta; Magnoliopsida; Poales; Poaceae
Exons: 3
Source: RefSeq, a predicted model, not a curated record
CAGUAAAUAUGGGUGGGAUACUUGUGCUGCUUGUUAUUUUCAGGAUCCCAACAGCAUUGUCGGCACAAAGACAGGAAGGCUGGUGAAGCACUUUUAUACCAAGCACCAUGAGGAUGAAGCACCGGAGAGAUGCGACGUGUGCAGCGCCUUGUUUCUCAGUCAGCGGCUUAAGUGGCACAUCAAAUUUUGCCACCCUGGACAUUGCAGUCGGGAUUUGAAGCAGGUCUCAUCAUGAUCAUGCACGUGUCUCAAUCAGGAGAAGGCGUUUACAGUGGCUGUUGGUAGACAAAAGCACAUGUUCUCCUCAAAACAGUCCGUCAUUUUCUCGGAGAUGAUUUGUACAUCAGGAUGUUUCGCCUUCUGGUUUUUCGUUUUCUCAUCUAGGAUCUAGGAGAAGAGAUAAUCUCAUAUUCAUUAGGUUAUCGUCAUAUUAUCGUACAAAUUUGUGAUAAUUGUCCAAAACAUCAUUCCCAGUACUUCCUUGCUCAAGCAGCACACCUCCUGGUGUGAAGUUUAUAUCAUGCCAAUUCUCUUUGAUGAUUAA